GGGCAAACAUGUGUUGAGAACACAAGGUCAUGUCGUUGCGAGUGCCCUGCUCUAAUAAGGCUACUACGAGCAGAGGACAACGGAUGGUACAUUGCAGAGCAUAGAGAUACUCACAACCACUCGCUAUCACCGAAUUUUGGUGAGACAAUCCACUGGCUGUCACACAAGCACACAUAUGUGUACACCAAAGACCUCGUAAAACACUUAAGGCAGAACAAUGUGAACUUACCAAAGGUGUACAGUAUCAUUGGAGGUUUCUUUGGAUCAAUGGAAAAUGUUCUGUUCACAAAGAGGUUGUUACGUAAUUUGUGUGGGAAGAUAAACAGGGACCACGUAGAAGAUGAUGUGAAGAAGACAAUAGAUGUGUUUGCGGAGAUAGGACCAUGCAGAAGAUGA
Molecule: ribosomal RNA, 396 nt
Filed under: Triticum aestivum (bread wheat)
Lineage: Eukaryota; Viridiplantae; Streptophyta; Magnoliopsida; Poales; Poaceae
Description: partial small subunit ribosomal RNA
Source: RNAcentral